Non-coding RNA from Mycena galopus ATCC 62051, 93 nucleotides. Lineage: Eukaryota; Fungi; Basidiomycota; Agaricomycetes; Agaricales; Mycenaceae. The record is from the annotation of a GenBank genome assembly.
GGCUUGGUGGUGGGUGGUCCACAUCUGUUUCUGCUUCGCAAGCGAGUGUCAAGGUUUAAGCAGAAAGAGUCUGUUCAAUUCAGGCCUAAGUCA